RNAcentral lists this ribosomal RNA (445 nucleotides) under uncultured bacterium. Its description in RNAcentral is "bacterial SSU rRNA". It matches the Rfam family "Bacterial small subunit ribosomal RNA", at positions 330 to 792 of the family's 1533-position model. The record is from RNAcentral.
CCCAGACUCCUACGGGAGGCAGCAGUGGGGAAUAUUGCACAAUGGGGGAAACCCUGAUGCAGCGACGCCGCGUGAGUGAAGAAGUAUUUCGGUAUGUAAAGCUCUCUCAGCAGGGAAGAUAAUGACGGUACCUGACUAAGAAGCCCCGGCUAACUACGUGCCAGCAGCCGCGGUAAUACGUAGGGGGCAAGCGUUAUCCGGAUUUACUGGGUGUAAAGGGUGCGCAGGUGGCAGGGCAAGUCAGAUGUGAAAGCCCGGGGCUCAACCCCGGUAUUGCAUUUGAAACUGUCCGGCUAGAGUGCAGGAGAGGUAAGCGGAAUUCCUAGUGUAGCGGUGAAAUGCGUAGAUAUUAGGAGGAACACCAGUGGCGAAGGCGGCUUACUGGACUGUAACUGACACUGAGGCACGAAAGCGUGGGGAGCAAACAGGAUUAGAUACCCUCGUA